AUACGGAGGGGGUUAGCGUUGUUCGGAAUUACUGGGCGUAAAGCGCACGUAGGCGGACUGGAAAGUUGGGGGUGAAAUCCCGGGGCUCAACCCCGGAACUGCCUCCAAAACUUCCAAUCUAGAGAUCGAGAGAGGUGAGUGGAAUUCCAAGUGUAGAAGUGAAAUUCGUAGAUAUUUGGAGGAACACCAGUGGCGAAGGCGGCUCACUGGCUCGAUACUGACGCUGAGGUGCGAAAGCGUGGGGAGCAAACAGGAUUAGAAACCCUGGUAGUCC
This 274-nucleotide ribosomal RNA is filed under the name uncultured bacterium. RNAcentral describes it as "partial 16S ribosomal RNA". It matches the Rfam family "Bacterial small subunit ribosomal RNA", at positions 523 to 796 of the family's 1533-position model. The record is from RNAcentral.